Molecule: ribosomal RNA, 477 nt
Filed under: Ruegeria sp. HDEN1
Lineage: Bacteria; Pseudomonadati; Pseudomonadota; Alphaproteobacteria; Rhodobacterales; Roseobacteraceae
Description: bacterial SSU rRNA
Rfam family: Bacterial small subunit ribosomal RNA
Source: RNAcentral
CCUGAUCCAGCCAUGCCGCGUGAGUGAUGAAGGCCCUAGGGUCGUAAAGCUCUUUCGCCUGUGAAGAUAAUGACGGUAGCAGGUAAAGAAACCCCGGCUAACUCCGUGCCAGCAGCCGCGGUAAUACGGAGGGGGUUAGCGUUGUUCGGAAUUACUGGGCGUAAAGCGCACGUAGGCGGACUGGAAAGUUGGGGGUGAAAUCCCGGGGCUCAACCCCGGAACUGCCUCCAAAACUAUCAGUCUAGAGUUCGAGAGAGGUGAGUGGAAUUCCGAGUGUAGAGGUGAAAUUCGUAGAUAUUCGGAGGAACACCAGUGGCGAAGGCGGCUCACUGGCUCGAUACUGACGCUGAGGUGCGAAAGUGUGGGGAGCAAACAGGAUUAGAUACCCUGGUAGUCCACACCGUAAACGAUGAAUGCCAGUCGUCGGGUAGCAUGCUAUUCGGUGACACACCUAACGGAUUAAGCAUUCCGCCUGGG